AAUAAGUCUGCUUGCUUUAGUCGGUUGAGUUUAAUAAUAAUGGAAAGCUGGAUUCUGAUUGUUCUGGUUGUAAUGCCAGGUGUCUGGAGUGGGGACUGGAGGGUGACCUUCAAAGAUCAAUGUGCUUUAAGAGGGACAUCUGUUGUUAUAAAGUGUGAAUAUGACUAUCCUUUUCCUCAUAUUGUUACUUCAUAUUCCUGGUCUAAAUACCAGUCUGUAUCUGGCCGUUGGACGCCUCUUUAUCUACUCCCUUCACCCCCAAACCACUUUAUAUAUGUAGGUGACCGCAGCAGUGACUGUAGUCUGAAUAUCAACAAUGUGCAAUAUGAUGAUGUAGGAUGGUACCAUUUUAGUUUUGCAACAACAUUCAACAGGUGGACAAGCAAACAGUCUGCUAAAUUGGUUGUUAAAGGUAAAGUUUUUAUUAAAAAAAAAUAUCUCUCCUGAAUUGAAAUGAUUUGAAUAAAAUAAAUAUGUUUCUGUGUCUGGAUCAGAGUUGUCCACGGUUGUGGAGCCAAGCACUGUGACAGAAGGAAAAACUGUCAGACUGACCUGUAGCUCAGGUUGUUCCACACAGACACCCAUUGUCUGGUUCAGAGAUGGACAACCAGUAACAAAUCCAGUCUUCCUGGCCAGCAGAGAGGAUGCUGGGCGGUACCACUGCGCUUUACGAGGACAGGAGACGGUCAGAUCUGCCUCUGUGGUUCUGAAUGUUCAAUGUGAGUACACUACUAAUACAAAUAAUAAACACCCAACUUUUUGACCUUUUUUCCCAGCAGACGUUCCUUUGUUAUACUCAAACAGCCAAAUGACAGUGUGACAGUAAGGCAGUAUGCACAAUAUCAAGACCCUGACUUUUUAAUUUGAAUAUUUACACCUGUGCUUUUCCUAUGGCGACACGUCAGAAUGUCUUCAGUGAAAAAGUUCUAUUGCUGUAUUAGAGGAUGCAGAUUUGAAACUUGUUUCCUCCCUUGUGUUCACAUCUCCUUUUUUUGAAUAUAGUCAAUUUAUUA
Scomber scombrus (Atlantic mackerel) is the source of this 1013-nucleotide long non-coding RNA. RefSeq lists it as uncharacterized. The transcript is spliced from 3 exons. NCBI's taxonomy places the organism in Eukaryota, Metazoa, Chordata, Actinopteri, Scombriformes, Scombridae. The record is from RefSeq and is a predicted model, not a curated record.